Molecule: long non-coding RNA, 561 nt
Filed under: Anser brachyrhynchus (Pink-footed goose)
Lineage: Eukaryota; Metazoa; Chordata; Aves; Anseriformes; Anatidae
Description: lncRNA (ENSABRG00000011135.1)
Source: RNAcentral
AAAAUAGGUUACCAGGAGAAAUCUCUGAAUGCUAUUAAUGGAUCACAGCUGAGAGAUACUUAUUCCCCUGCAGCACUCAGCUGCUGACAUAUUACUUUGAGGCUAUAGCUAUCUGUGCUACAGAGACCACAACAGACCUGUACCUCUUUUUAGGACUGAGAAGAUACAGGCAUGAGAGUUUCACUGGCAGCCUUGCUUUUGAUCUGGGAGCUGUUAGAAGCCAUUGCGCCACAGAUGAAAGGAGUUAGAAAAUUCCAUAUCAUAAUGCAGUUAGAUCAGUAAUUCAUGGAGCAGAUUUGUGUUGAUGAACAUCUCUGAUUCUGAAUCUACAGUUCUAGAUCUGAAACAGAGCAGAAUCUUCUCAAAAUUAAACAAAACAUCCAGGAGACUAAAUUAAGACUUUAACUUAAAACAAUCUCAGUAUUUCAGCAAAACAUAUGAUUUGAGGUUUUAAAGAAGGCUAACAAGACUAAUUCUGUUAUAACAUGAGAAUUGAAAUGAAAGGUAAGCACUGUCUUUUUUCCAAAGUGUAGAAAUAUGUCUACUUGGUUUAACAGAGCA